GGGGGUUGUUUGUUUAGGGGGGGGGUGCUAUCAUGCAGUCGUACGCUUCUUUUUCCACCGGAGCUUGCUCCACCGGAAAAAGAAGAGUGGCGAACGGGUGAGUAACACGUGGGUAACCUGCCCAUCAGAAGGGGAUAACACUUGGAAACAGGUGCUAAUACCGUAUAACAAUCGAAACCGCAUGGUUUUGAUUUGAAAGACGCUUUCGGGUGUCGCUGAUGGAUGGACCCGCGGUGCAUUAGCUAGUUGGUGAGGUAACGGCUCACCAAGGCCACGAUGCAUAGCCGACCUGAGAGGGUGAUCGGCCACAUUGGGACUGAGACACGGCCCAAACUCCUACGGGAGGCAGCAGUAGGGAAUCUUCGGCAAUGGACGAAAGUCUGACCGAGCAACGCCGCGUGAGUGAAGAAGGUUUUCGGAUCGUAAAACUCUGUUGUUAGAGAAGAACAAGGAUGAGAGUAACUGUUCAUCCCUUGACGGUAUCUAACCAGAAAGCCACGGCUAACUACGUGCCAGCAGCCGCGGUAAUACGUAGGUGGCAAGCGUUGUCCGGAUUUAUUGGGCGUAAAGCGAGCGCAGGCGGUUUCUUAAGUCUGAUGUGAAAGCCCCCGGCUCAACCGGGGAGGGUCAUUGGAAACUGGGAGACUUGAGUGCAGAAGAGGAGAGUGGAAAUUCCAUGUGUAGCGGGUGAAAAUGCGUAGAUAUAUGGAGGAACACCAGUGGCGAAGGCGGGCUCUCUGGUCUGUAACUGACGCUGAGGCUCGAAAGCGUGGGGGAGCAAACAGGAUUAAAUACCCUGGGGAGACCACGCCGUAAACGAUGAGUGCUAAGUGGUUGUAGGGUUUUCCGCCCCUUCAGUGCUGGCAGCUAAGCU
RNAcentral lists this ribosomal RNA (874 nucleotides) under Enterococcus lactis. RNAcentral describes it as "bacterial SSU rRNA". It matches the Rfam family "Bacterial small subunit ribosomal RNA", at positions 24 to 859 of the family's 1533-position model. The record is from RNAcentral. Lineage: Bacteria; Bacillati; Bacillota; Bacilli; Lactobacillales; Enterococcaceae.